CCUACGGGAGGCUGCAGUGAGGAAUAUUGCGCAAUGGGCGAAAGCCUGACGCAGCGACGCCGCGUGAGGGAUGAAGGUCUUCGGAUCGUAAACCUCUGUCAGCAGGGAAGAACGGUCACUGUGCUAAUCAGCAGUGAAUUGACGGUACCUGCAAAGGAAGCACCGGCUAACUCCGUGCCAGCAGCCGCGGUAAUACGGAGGGUGCGAGCGUUAAUCGGAAUUAAUGGGCGUAAAGCGCUCGUAGGCGGUAUGUCAAGUCAAGGGUGAAAUCCCCGCGCUCAACGUGGGAACUGCCUUUGAAACUGGCAAACUGGAGUGUGUGAGAGGAUAGUGGAAUGCCAGGUGUAGGAGUGAAAUCCGUAGAUAUCUGGAAGAACAUCAGUGGCGAAGGCGACUAUCUGGCACAUAACUGACGCUGAGGAGCGAAAGCGUGGGUAGCAAACAGGAUUAGAUACCCGGGUAGUC
RNAcentral lists this ribosomal RNA (465 nucleotides) under uncultured bacterium. RNAcentral describes it as "partial 16S ribosomal RNA". It matches the Rfam family "Bacterial small subunit ribosomal RNA", at positions 338 to 795 of the family's 1533-position model. The record is from RNAcentral.